Molecule: ribosomal RNA, 281 nt
Filed under: Faecalibacterium prausnitzii
Lineage: Bacteria; Bacillati; Bacillota; Clostridia; Eubacteriales; Oscillospiraceae
Description: partial 16S ribosomal RNA
Rfam family: Bacterial small subunit ribosomal RNA
Source: RNAcentral
AACGUAGGUCACAAGCGUUGUCCGGAAUUACUGGGUGUAAAGGGAGCGCAGGCGGGAAGACAAGUUGGAAGUGAAAUCCAUGGGCUCAACCCAUGAACUGCUUUCAAAACUGUUUUUCUUGAGUAGUGCAGAGGUAGGCGGAAUUCCCGGUGUAGCGGUGGAAUGCGUAGAUAUCGGGAGGAACACCAGUGGCGAAGGCGGCCUACUGGGCACCAACUGACGCUGAGGCUCGAAAGUGUGGGUAGCAAACAGGAUUAGAAACCCCAGUAGUCCGGUAUACU